This 489-nucleotide ribosomal RNA is filed under the name uncultured bacterium. RNAcentral describes it as "partial 16S ribosomal RNA". It matches the Rfam family "Bacterial small subunit ribosomal RNA", at positions 28 to 523 of the family's 1533-position model. The record is from RNAcentral.
GACGAACGCUGGCGGCGUGCUUAACACAUGCAAGUCGAACGGGAUCCAUCCCAGCUUGCUGGGAGAAGAUCUAGUGGCGAACGGGUGCGUAACACGUGGGCAACCUACCUCGGAGAUCGGGAUAACAGCUGGAAACGGCUGCUAAUACCGGAUAACCCUCUCGGAUCGCAUGGUCCGAGAGGCAAAUGGUCCGCCGCUCCGGGAUGGGCCCGCGGCCUAUCAGCUUGUUGGUGAGGUAACAGCUCACCAAGGCGACGACGGGUAGCCGACCUGAGAGGGUGAUCGGCCACACUGGGACUGAGACACGGCCCAGACUCCUACGGGAGGCAGCAGUGGGGAAUUGUGCGCAAUGGGCGAAAGCCUGACGCAGCAACGCCGCGUGGAGGAUGAAGGUCUUCGGAUUGUAAACUCCUGUCGGGAGGGACGAAGCGAAAGUGACGGUACCUCCAAAGGAAGCCCCGGCUAACUACGUGCCAGCAGCCGCGGUAA